This 253-nucleotide ribosomal RNA is filed under the name uncultured bacterium. RNAcentral describes it as "partial 16S ribosomal RNA". It matches the Rfam family "Bacterial small subunit ribosomal RNA", at positions 524 to 776 of the family's 1533-position model. The record is from RNAcentral.
UACGGGGGGGGCAAGCGUUGUUCGGAAUUACUGGGCGUAAAGGGCGCGUAGGUGGCCAACUAAGUCAGACGUGAAAUCCCUCGGCUUAACCGGGGAACUGCGUCUGAUACUGGAUGGCUUGAGUUUGGGAGAGGGUAGUGGAAUUCCCGGUGUAGUGGUGAAAUGCGUAGAUAUCGGGAGGAACACCAGUGGCGGAGGCGACUACCUGGCCUGUUCUUGACGCUGAGGCGCGAAAGCUAGGGGAGCAAACGGG